UGUGUGUUUGCUCAUGUUUCUAGUGUGACCAAUAUGAAGAUGAAGUCCAGAACUUGGUGCCACAAUUAAACGGUAAAGAGGACAAACUGGAAGACUUGAGGAAAGUAAAGACCAUUCUUGCCAGAGCUGGAAAGGAAAUGAAGCUGUACAAACAACGACUAGAAGAAGAAAAAAUCAAAAACAAACAGCUGUUGCAGAAUCAGAAUCAGUUGAAACAAGAGAUGCAAAAGAUGCAGAAAGGAAUGAUUUAUAAUGCAUGGCAGCAGAAUGGCAAUAACCAGAGCAACAGUAAUAAUAAGUGUGAUAUUAACUGUGCCAAUAGCGACACUCACCAGCUGCACAAAGAGGUUACCGAUCUAAAGAUGGCGCUGUUUGCUGCCAACGAACGGCAGGAGGUAUUGCAGAGAAAAUACGAAGAUCGCAAACUUCGGAUCCGUGCAAAAUUCCUGAGAGCCAGGCAAUUACACAACCAGGAAAAGAUGCUUAUGAAGGAACAACUUCGCCACCUGGGAGAGGACUUGCUGGUCACUCGGUCGAUGUUUAACAAGGAGCAUGAACUGCGUGAAGAGCGAGAAGCCAGUUACAAGAAACUGGCCAAUGAACGCCGAGAGCUUCUCUCAAAAAAUGGAGAGCAAGUGGAGAUCAUCCGCGAACUGACUCGAUCUCAGUCGAGACUGGAGGUUCAGUCAAAAUUCCUUGAAGAAGAAAACAAACGUCUCCAGGAGAAACUGAUUGCAGUCAAUCACAGACAGAGUCUGUCACAACGUGCCAAUCACAAUUUGAUAUACCCUCACCAGUUAACAAGCUCGAAAUCUUUAGAGUUUGAUGCCAUUUUUGAGAGGCCACUGUCUCACUUAAACAAAGGGACUUUGCCUGACAUGAAACCAUCCUUCCAGACAGAUAGCAGCCACAUACGCCAAAUAGAACUGAACCAGACGGAAGACGAAUACGAUAUAUGAACCUUAUGUAUCUAACAUUCAUUAGACUGCUGUGGCCAUGAAUUGAUCUGAGUUUAUCUUUUUGUUAAACUUGGUACUUCUUUUAUCGGCUUCUUUUGCUGAACUACUAUGUUACGGGGAUGUAAACAAACCAACACCAGUGAUGAUCUCAGAAUGACAUUGUAGAAUAGUUGUGAGAGGCUGAAUCUGGCUGGCUUGAAUAUAAAACAGAAGAUGGUGUGAUUUGGUUUUUCUCAGAUGGGAAAAACUUUGAGCAGGAUCAGAAAACUAACACAAGAAAUGACAGAUGGCUAUGUGCAGACCCUUCUGAGAUUCCGAGAAUAAUGCACACAAAAAUUCUUCUAAGUAUCAUGGUUUUGGGUGUUGUUAGCAGUGAAGGACAUGUGAUGCCUUGUCACUUUUUUCCACAAGGCCUUAGGGUGAAUGCUGCUGUGUAUGUUGAGGUUAUGGUUAAAAUUGUUAAGCCUUGGAUAAACAGUGUAUGCAAUGGAAGGCCUUAUGUCUUUCAACAAGAUUCUGCACCAUCACACAAGGCUCAAAUGACACGAGAAUGGAUUACCGACAAUUUGCAUGAUCACAUCACCCCGAACAUUUAGCAUUCUAAUUCUCCACAUCUCGAUGCUAAUUCCUAAAAAGGGGGUCAUAACACUGAAAUACUGAAUGCAAGGUAAGUCACCAUUAAUU
Molecule: unclassified non-coding RNA, 1643 nt
Organism: Octopus bimaculoides (California two-spot octopus)
Lineage: Eukaryota; Metazoa; Mollusca; Cephalopoda; Octopoda; Octopodidae
Source: RefSeq, a predicted model, not a curated record